RNAcentral lists this ribosomal RNA (443 nucleotides) under uncultured bacterium. RNAcentral describes it as "partial 16S ribosomal RNA". It matches the Rfam family "Bacterial small subunit ribosomal RNA", at positions 338 to 795 of the family's 1533-position model. The record is from RNAcentral.
CCUACGGGUGGCAGCAGUGGGGAAUAUUGGUCAAUGGGCGCAAGCCUGACCCAGCAACGCCGCGUGAAGGAAGAAGGCUUUCGGGUUGUAAACUUCUUUUAUUGAGGACGAAACAAAUGACGGUACUCCAUGAAUAAGCCACGGCUAACUACGUGCCAGCAGCCGCGGUAAUCCGUCGGUGGCAAGCGUUCUCCGGGUGUACUGGUUGUAAAGGGCGUGUAGGUGGGACUGCAAGUCAGAUGUGAAAGCAAUGGGCUCAACCCAUAGCCUGCAUUUGACAAUGGAAGUCUUGAGUGAUGGAGAGGCAGGCGGAAUUCCGGGUGUAGCGGUGAAAUGCGUAGAUAUACCGAGGAACACCAGUGGCGAAGGCGGCCUACUGGACAUUAACUGACGCUGAGGCGCGAAAGCGUGGGGAGCAAACAGGAUUAGAUACCCUUGUAGUC